Long non-coding RNA from Equus caballus (horse), 1774 nucleotides. The record is from Ensembl. Lineage: Eukaryota; Metazoa; Chordata; Mammalia; Perissodactyla; Equidae.
GUGGAGACAAUAGCUCCCGUGAACACAAGCAGACAAGGCUCAAUGCAGCUUUCUUCCCCUCCUCAAUGCAGCUUUGAUCCAGCCAGGGCUACCGGGAGGAAUUUCAGUCUAACUGGGGCAGCCCUACCUGGGAACCAUGCCUCACUCUGUGGGGGUGGCUCCUCCCAUUAUUGGGGAGGUUAUCGGGAGCCGGCAUGGAAAGUUCCAUAAACAUGGAGCACCAGCACCCCACCAGCGCCUCCACACACCAGCCUGAUUGAAUUUAGCACAUGUCUUUGCUAUAGGUACGAUUGGCGAUGACAGUUGUCAAGCUGUUGUGGCUCAGUCUCAAAGUCACUACCGUUUUGUGACGCAGGGGCUGGAACUGCCACUUCUCCCAGCUAACUGGCGCCAUGUCAGGUUCUGCCACUAGGAGGCGCCAGAGGGAGAUCGCAAAGCUGGAGGACCGAAAAGGGACUUUUAUCUUUCAGUGCCCACCAGUUUCAUCCUGGCAUCGAAGUUUGUUUCAGUCUCUAGGUUUUUUCAACACCCCUAGUACCAGCCUCUUAGUCAUUUCUCUGCCCCAUGAUUUACAAAACUCUCCUACUUUAAAAACAACCACCUCUGGGUUUUAAAAACAAUCCCAGCGCCCUGUGUACAAUUUCACAACAAAGGAGAGAAGCGUCAAGGGCUGGGACGAUAGCAGAGGGGUCUGCGCCUGCAUGAAGACCCAAUUUCUUCCCGGGUGGUGGAUAAAGCUAAGGAGAUAAAAAAUGACCUUUCACCUUCGGGAACAGUAAUCGCCACCUCUCUGGAGCCUGUGCGGAGGAUGAAUUAGGAAGAAACAAGGCCAGACCACCAGUUGGCAGACUGCUGAAGUCAAGAAGUCCUCUAAGCCAGAAGUGAUGAUGCCAUGAACCAGGCUUCUUACAGAGUUGUGAUGUGCCCCGGAACGCCUCAUCUCAGGGAAGGCAAGAGGAGUCUCUCUUAAGAGAGUAUGGCGUCUGCUUCUAGUGCUGUUUACGGCAAAGCUGAAAACUGUCUUUGAAAUUAACAACAGAUGUGCAUAAAUCUUCAGUUACCUAGCAACUAAUACAAGAGAAAGUUUGCCAACCCUGAUUUAGAGGAUAAAAACGAACUGUCUUUUCCUCUGAGUCUGCCACUGAAGAGAUGGAUGUCAUGAGGCUUUCCCUAUCAAGUGAGGUGGUCGACUAUAGUCAAAGGUUUCUUGCAUCUAAGAGUCAACUCUCAGCAACACCUUAAUUCCCAUUUUUUUCCACCAAGAAUUAACAUCUACAACAAUCAAGAAUAAUGCUAUGUUCCUUAGAAGCUUGGCUAGUUCUACUAGAAUUCCAAAGAAUGGAGUGUUGCAUCUGAUAAGGCCAUUGGGACAAGGCUGCCCAAGGGCUCACCUGUGUUUAUACGUCUGUGCCUCUUCCCAGGCACAAAGCUAGUUGGCACCUCCCAAUCCCCUUGCAGUAAGGUGGGCCAGGUCUUGAGCUUUUGCUGAUGGAAUUGAGGAGAAAUAUGUCCAGCAUUCCCACACCUGAAUUGAACACUCCUCACUGACCCUCCAUACUCUCUCCUCUUCCUUGCCUGAAGGAUGCAAACAACCCAGUGGACGACCCUGAAGUUUAGAGAAAGCCAUCCAAUAGAACUUUCUGGAAUGAUGGAAAACUUCUAUUCUGCACUGUUCAAUAUAGUAGUUUCUAGUCAUAUGUGGCUAUUGUGCUCUGGAAAUGUGGCUAGUGCAACUGAGGAGUGAAUUUUUACUUUUAAUAAAUUUAAAUAUCAU